UGGCUUUGUAGCUCAGCUGGUUAGAGCGCGUCUCUCAUAAGGACGAGGUCGGUGGUUCGAGUCUACCCGGCGCCAU
This 76-nucleotide transfer RNA is filed under the name candidate division CPR1 bacterium ADurb.Bin160. Its description in RNAcentral is "tRNA-Met". It matches the Rfam family "tRNA". From Rfam's summary of the family: Transfer RNA (tRNA) molecules are approximately 80 nucleotides in length. Their secondary structure includes four short double-helical elements and three loops (D, anti-codon, and T loops). Further hydrogen bonds mediate the characteristic L-shaped molecular structure. tRNAs have two regions of fundamental functional importance: the anti-codon, which is responsible for specific mRNA codon recognition, and the 3' end, to which the tRNAs corresponding amino acid is attached (by aminoacyl-tRNA synthetases). tRNAs cope with the degeneracy of the genetic code in two manners: having more than one tRNA (with a specific anti-codon) for a particular amino acid; and 'wobble' base-pairing, i.e. permitting non-standard base-pairing at the 3rd anti-codon position. The record is from RNAcentral. Lineage: Bacteria; candidate division CPR1.